UUUCCGUAGGUGAACCUGCGGAAGGAUCAUUAUUGUAUAACCGAGGUGCGAGGGCUGUCGCUGACCCGAAAGGUCGUGCACGCCCGAGUGCCCUCACACAGAUCCAUCUCACCCCUAUGUGCACCACCGCGUGGGUCCCCCUUUGGCUUGUUCGGAGGGGGGCUUACGUUUUCACACAAACUUUGUAUGCAGUGUAGAAUGUAUUUUUUGUUUUUGCGAUCACGCAAUCAAUACAACUUUCAACAACGGAUCUCUUGGCUCUC
This 263-nucleotide unclassified non-coding RNA is filed under the name plant metagenome. Its description in RNAcentral is "partial contains small subunit ribosomal RNA, internal transcribed spacer 1, and 5.8S ribosomal RNA". The record is from RNAcentral.